GAGUUUGAUCCUGGCUCAGGAUGAACGCUAGCGGGAGGCCUAACACAUGCAAGCCGAGCGGUAUUUCUUCUUCGGAAGAGAGAGAGCGGCGUACGGGUGCGUAACACGUGUGCAACCUGCCUUUAUCUGGGGGAUAGCCUUUCGAAAGGAAGAUUAACACCCCAUAAUAUAAUGAUUGGCAUCAAUUAUUAUUGAAAACUCCGGUGGAUAGAGAUGGGCACGCGCAAGAUUAGAUAGUUGGUGAGGUAACGGCUCACCAAGUCGAUGAUCUUUAGGGGUCCUGAGAGGGAGAUCCCCCACACUGGUACUGAGACACGGACCAGACUCCUACGGGAGGCAGCAGA
Molecule: ribosomal RNA, 344 nt
Filed under: uncultured Kocuria sp. FR057
Lineage: Bacteria; Bacillati; Actinomycetota; Actinomycetes; Micrococcales; Micrococcaceae
Description: bacterial SSU rRNA
Rfam family: Bacterial small subunit ribosomal RNA
Source: RNAcentral